RNAcentral lists this ribosomal RNA (844 nucleotides) under uncultured Chloroflexota bacterium. RNAcentral's name for it is "bacterial SSU rRNA". It matches the Rfam family "Bacterial small subunit ribosomal RNA", at positions 527 to 1382 of the family's 1533-position model. The record is from RNAcentral. Lineage: Bacteria; Bacillati; Chloroflexota.
GUAGGAGGCGAACGUUAUCCGGAUUUACUGGGCGUAAAGCGCGUGUAGGUGGUUUGGUAAGUAGGGCGUGAAAGCUCCUGGCUCAACUGGGAGAGGCCGUUCUAAACUGCCAAACUAGAGGAUGGUAGAGGGAGGUGGAAUUCCGGGUGUAGCGGUGGAAUGCGCAGAUAUCCGGAGGAACACCAGUGGCGAAAGCGGCCUCCUGGACCAUUCCUGACACUCAGACGCGAAAGCUAGGGUAGCAAACGGGAUUAGAGACCCCGGUAGUCCUAGCCCUAAACGAUGUAGACUUGGCGUCGGUGGUUUAAACGCCAUCGGUGUCGAAGCUAACGCGAUAAGUCUACCGCCUGGGGACUACGGCCGCAAGGUUAAAACUCAAAGGAAUUGACGGGUCCCCGCACAAGCAGCGGAGCGUGUGGUUUAAUUCGUUGCUACACGAAGAACCUUACCUGGGUUUGACAUAGGGGUGGUAGGGAAGCGAAAGCGGACCGACCCUUCGGGGAGCCUCUACAGGUGUUGCAUGGCUGUCGUCAGCUCGUGUCGUGAGAUGUUCGGUUAAGUCCGCUAACGAGCGCAACCCUCGCUGUGUGUUACAAGUGUCACACGGUACUGCCGGUAUUAAGUCGGAGGAAGGUGGGGAUGACGUCAAGUCAGCAUGACCUUUAUAUCCAGGGCUACACACACGCUACAAUGGUCAGUACAAUAGGUUGCCAAGCCGCGAGGCGGAGCCAAUCCUAAAAAGCUGGCCUCAGUUCAGAUUGCAGUCUGCAACUCGACUGCAUGAAGUUGGAGUUGCUAGUAACCGCAGGUCAGCUAUACUGCGGUGAAUACGUUCCCGGGGAUU